GCCCAACCGUAAACUUUUACUUACAGCCAAAUCGCCAGGGAACUACGAGCUAAGCUUAAAACCCAAAGGACUUGACGGUACCCCAAAUCCCCCUAGAGGAGCCUGUCCUAUAAUCGAUAAUCCACGUUCAACCUCACCACUUUUAGCCAACCAGUCUGUAUACCUCCGUCGUCAGCUUACCCCGUGAGCGCCAAUUAGUGAGCCCAAUGUUAAUUCACCAAUACGUCAGGUCAAGGUGCAGCAAAUGAAGUGGGAAGAGAUGGGCUACACUCUCUAUAUUAGAAAAAACGAAAAACUACCUAUGAAACCUAGUUAGAAGGCGGAUUUAGCAGUAAAAGGGAAUCAGCAUAUCCUUUUUAACCCGGCACUGGGGUGUGU
This 378-nucleotide ribosomal RNA is filed under the name Phrynoidis asper (giant Asian toad). Its description in RNAcentral is "partial 12S ribosomal RNA". It matches the Rfam family "Bacterial small subunit ribosomal RNA", at positions 794 to 1384 of the family's 1533-position model. The record is from RNAcentral. Lineage: Eukaryota; Metazoa; Chordata; Amphibia; Anura; Bufonidae.